Molecule: ribosomal RNA, 253 nt
Filed under: uncultured bacterium
Lineage: Bacteria
Description: partial 16S ribosomal RNA
Rfam family: Bacterial small subunit ribosomal RNA
Source: RNAcentral
UACGUAGGCAGCGAGCGUUGUUCGGAGUUACUGGGCGUAAAGGGCGCGUAGGCGGGUGCUCAAGUCCGUGGUGAAAUCCUCCGGCUCAACCGGAGAACUGCCUCGGAUACUGGGCGUCUCGAGUGUGGUAGGGGUAUGCGGAACUAUCGGUGGAGCGGUGAAAUGCGUUGAUAUCGAUAGGAACUCCGGUGGCGAAGGCGGCAUACUGGACCACCACUGACGCUGAUGCGCGAAAGCCAGGGGAGCAAACGGG